GAUGAACGCUAGCUACAGGCUUAACACAUGCAAGUCGAGGGGCAUCAGGAAGGAAGCUUGCUUUCUUCGCUGGCGACCGGCGCACGGGUGAGUAACACGUAUCCAACCUGCCGAUGACUCGGGGAUAGCCUUUCGAAAGAAAGAUUAAUACCCGAUGGCAUAGUUCUUCCGCAUGGUAGAACUAUUAAAGAAUUUCGGUCAUCGAUGGGGAUGCGUUCCAUUAGCUUGUUGGCGGGGUAACGGCCCACCAAGGCAUCGAUGGAUAGGGGUUCUGAGAGGAAGGUCCCCCACAUUGGAACUGAGACACGGACCAG
Molecule: ribosomal RNA, 314 nt
Filed under: uncultured bacterium
Lineage: Bacteria
Description: bacterial SSU rRNA
Rfam family: Bacterial small subunit ribosomal RNA
Source: RNAcentral